GCCCUAAUGGUCUAGCGGUAUGAUUCCUGCUUCGGGUGCAGGAGGUCCCGGGUUCGAUCCCCGGUUCCCGGGUUCGAUCCCCGGUUGGGGCC
Non-coding RNA from Aphanomyces astaci, 92 nucleotides. NCBI's taxonomy places the organism in Eukaryota, Oomycota, Saprolegniomycetes, Saprolegniales, Verrucalvaceae. The record is from the annotation of a RefSeq genome assembly.